AUUUCCCUCUUUCUCUAGGCCUAACACACGCAAGUCGAACGGCAGCACAGUAAGAGCUUGCUCUUACGGGUGGCGAGUGGCGGACGGGUGAGGAAUACAUCGGAAUCUACUUUUUCGUGGGGGAUAACGUAGGGAAACUUACGCUAAUACCGCAUACGACCUACGGGUGAAAGCAGGGAAUCUUCGGACCUUGCGCGAUUGAAUGAGCCGAUGUCGGAUUAGCUAGUUGGCGGGGUAAAGGCCCACCAAGGCGACGAUCCGUAGCUGGUCUGAGAGGAUGAUCAGCCACACUGGAACUGAGACACGGUCCAGACUCCUACGGGAGGCAGCAGUGGGGAAUAUUGGACAAUGGGCGCAAGCCUGAUCCAGCCAUACCGCGUGGGUGAAGAAGGCCUUCGGGUUGUAAAGCCCUUUUGUUGGGAAAGAAAAGCAGCAGGUUAAUACCCCGCUGUUCUGACGGUACCCAAAGAAUAAGCACCGGCUAACUUCGUG
Molecule: ribosomal RNA, 492 nt
Filed under: uncultured bacterium
Lineage: Bacteria
Description: partial 16S ribosomal RNA
Rfam family: Bacterial small subunit ribosomal RNA
Source: RNAcentral